GACGAACGCUGGCGGCGUGCCUAAUACAUGCAAGUCGAGCGAACAGACGAGGACCUUCCUCCUCUGCCUUUGCCGCCGGCCGGUGGGUUACCCCUUGGCUACCCUCCUUUUAAGCUUGGAUUACCUUCGGAAACCCGGAGCUAUUCCCGGUUACUCUUUUCCUCCCCUUGGUUCAAUCUUAAAAAUCGCUUUUGCUUUCCCUUUUCGAUUGAUCCCCGCCGCAUUAGCUAGUUGGUAAGGUAACGGCUUACCAAGGCCACGAUGCGUAGCCGACCUGAGAGGGUGAUCGGCCACACUGGAACUGAGACACGGCCCAGACUCCUACGGGAGGCAGCAGUAGGGAAUCUUCCGCAAUGGGCGAAAGCCUGACGGAGCAACGCCGCGUGAGUGAUGAAGGUCUUCGGAUCGUAAAACUCUGUUAUUAGGGAAGAACAAAUGUGGAAGUAACUACGCACGUCUUGACGGUACCUAAUCAGAAAGCCACGGCUAACUACGUG
This 497-nucleotide ribosomal RNA is filed under the name uncultured bacterium. Its description in RNAcentral is "partial 16S ribosomal RNA". It matches the Rfam family "Bacterial small subunit ribosomal RNA", at positions 28 to 507 of the family's 1533-position model. The record is from RNAcentral.